This is a long non-coding RNA of Tarenaya hassleriana, 2076 nucleotides long. RefSeq lists it as uncharacterized. The record is from RefSeq and is a predicted model, not a curated record. The transcript is spliced from 4 exons. NCBI's taxonomy places the organism in Eukaryota, Viridiplantae, Streptophyta, Magnoliopsida, Brassicales, Cleomaceae.
AAAUUGAAUGGAAGAGCAAAAUCUUAGUUUCUUUGGAUGUCGUUAAGACCCUAAAACGUAGUCUCUAAACCAAUCAUCGAUCAGGAAAGAAGGUUUUUUUGGCAGAUUUCAUCGAUAAAGGUGGUUUCUUUUUCCUCGGUCUCUGAGCAGAAGAAAACGGAGACGAUGUCGUCUGAUCUCGGUGAUUAUACUGUCAUUAAGGAAGGCGAAUAUGAAAUCCUCAUGCUCGCCAAAAAAGAAGUCUUUUACAGCAAGACCCAUGUUCCAAAAUCAGGUCUUUAAGCUUUUUCCGUUAGAAUUCUGUGUUCUCUUAAUCAGGGGUACAACAGAAUUUGGUAGUUGUUCUGUUGAUUAUUGAUUUUUUUUUUAUGUAAUGGGUUCACCGAAAUACAAAUGAAGUGUAAUGCUGGCUGAAAAUGAAGAAAGAUCGAUCCUUGAAGUUUCAGUUUUUCUGAAGAGUUUAAGUCGCAUUGUAUGGUGUGUGUGUGUGUGUGAUUUGAACCACAGGAAAUGUAUUUUGAAGUUGAUGAAUUUUUGUUCAGGAGUGCUUUUGCUGUGUUGUUGGUCAUCGGUUAAAGGAUUUUGUUUCCCUGCGUUGAAAAAUAAGGAAUUAAAUCCAUAACAUCGACGGAAUCUUGAGUCUGUGUUAAGGUCACCAGAUUCUAUCAUCCUUUUUAUAGUUUGCAAGAAGAAAUCUGAUUUAAGGUGUUAAGUUCGUGGGAAUAGGGACCAGUGUCAAAUGGAGACAUGUCCAUUGCUGUCAUAAGAGCAAGAGGCAAUAUUGUCUAGCAGAAGAAACAGAGUAUCAUAAUCCAUUGAGAAGGAUGGCGAUAUAUUUUCCCAGGGAAAAGCGCCUGAGAAUUCUCAUAGAGAUAGCUCAUUUGAUUUUGAUUCUCCAGGCUAUGUCAGCUUCUUAUUCUGGGCUGAGAGCAUUAAGAUAUGCUUUUGAAGUAUAAGAGAUCGGUCAAGUUGUGGGAUUAGAUGAGGCAUCAUUAGAGGCUUGCAGAAGAAAUAUAGAGUUCGAUGGUUCAGUUUCAAGAUCGAAGGUAGAGUCACAUUUCGCCAAUCCCCACGUAUGUAUGCCCACAAAUCCAAAAGAAUUCGAUAUGGUAUGUGACUUUGUCUAUAUCUGCAUUCUAAGACUGAUACAUGUUACUAUAAAUGCAAAAGAUAUUUUAAGAUAUUUUCACUUUAGACAAAGAGCAUUGACUGCCUUGACUAUAUACAUGAUCGCACAGGUCGGCCUGGAUCCAUCCCUAUGGUUCAUCUUCUGUAAUUCUUGGACUCUGCGGUCCAAUCUGCUUCAUGCAUUUGGGUUACGGUUCUUGGUUUUAGUCAUUCAUCUCUUUGCUUUUAGAUAUGGUUCAUACCCUUUCAAAGGGAAACACUGUCAUGAGAUGGCUUUGAGGAUUCUCCUUGCGUGUAUCGAGGAACAUCUCUCAUAUGACUCCAUAUCUUCCAUCCUUCCAAGUAUUUGCUCACAUAAAAGUUAGUUAUGUUUAUAGUUGUUUCCUCUGCCACAUUGCUUUUUCACAAAAAUAUAUGAUGUAUGUAAAAUUAUGUCUGCCCAUAGAUGCAGAGUCAUGCAAAUCGCUAUAAGCGGUACAUAGCUCCUGUUCUAUCGCUCCAAUGGACUUCUAAGUUAACCUGUUAACUCGACCCUUGGCCUGGACAUGAUCAUAGUCGAAUAUGAACUUAAUGUGUUUGAUGCAGUUCUGCUGGUGAAAUGAAGAACUGUCAUGUGUUUACCAGUGUAAUGGUUAUGAUUCCUUUCAUCUUCUGCCUGUUGGGAUAACUGUUGAAAUGGUGGAAACACUGAUUUGAUAGAUUUUGCCCGGGCAGGCGUCUCUUAGCAAAGCAGAGGCAAAGAAGAAAGAUGUGCGCUUUCUUCGAAACCCGGGAAGAGAACUGAGGUAGAAAGAGCGAGGAGACAAAGCAAAUCUGUACCUGGAUCUGGGAAAACAGAAAGAGUUUUCCGGCCACAUUGAUCCUUCUUGUGGAUUUGGAACAUAUUUACUUGUUUCUUGUCUUACGUUAUGAAAUCUGAUGUUUUAUCUGAUGUCCAUUUACAGUUUU